RNAcentral lists this ribosomal RNA (468 nucleotides) under uncultured bacterium. RNAcentral's name for it is "partial 16S ribosomal RNA". It matches the Rfam family "Bacterial small subunit ribosomal RNA", at positions 28 to 507 of the family's 1533-position model. The record is from RNAcentral.
GACGAACGCUGGCGGCGUGCUUAACACAUGCAAGUCGAACGGAAAGGCCCUGCUUUUGUGGGGUGCUCGAGUGGCGAACGGGUGAGUAACACGUGAGUAACCUGCCCUUGACUUUGGGAUAACUUCAGGAAACUGGGGCUAAUACCGGAUAGGAGCUCCUGCUGCAUGGUGGGGGUUGGAAAGUUUCGGCGGUUGGGGAUGGACUCGCGGCUUAUCAGCUUGUUGGUGGGGUAGUGGCUUACCAAGGCUUUGAAGGGUAGCCGGCCUGAGAGGGUGACCGGCCACAUUGGGACUGAGAUACGGCCCAGACUCGUACGGGAGGCAGCAGUGGGGAAUAUUGCACAAUGGGCGGAAGCCUGAUGCAGCAACGCCGCGUGCGGGAUGACGGCCUUCGGGUUGUAAACCGCUUUCGCCUGUGACGAAGCGUGAGUGACGGUAAUGGGUAAAGAAGCACCGGCUAACUACGUG